AUGGCCACAUCACAUUCAAACAUUACUUCCCAUAUGAUCACUAAAGUUAAGCAACGUUGAGCCUGGUCAGUACCUAGACAGGUGACUGCUUGAGAAUACCAGGUGUGGUAAG
Molecule: non-coding RNA, 112 nt
Organism: Acanthosepion pharaonis
Lineage: Eukaryota; Metazoa; Mollusca; Cephalopoda; Sepiida; Sepiidae
Source: the annotation of a GenBank genome assembly